Long non-coding RNA from Eptesicus fuscus (big brown bat), 402 nucleotides. RefSeq lists it as uncharacterized. NCBI's taxonomy places the organism in Eukaryota, Metazoa, Chordata, Mammalia, Chiroptera, Vespertilionidae. The transcript has 3 exons. The record is from RefSeq and is a predicted model, not a curated record.
CUGCCUUACAAUAUAAGGGGUGAGACAAUAUAUUGUUUUUAAAUACAUAUAUUCUCCAUCCAGGACACUCCCUUAUGGUCAAGAAAAGUCACAGGGACUGAAUGUACUCUCAUGCAUGAAACAACUGAAAAAGAAAACAACAAAAAACACAAAAUCUAUGAAACAACAACAGAAGACAUUGGACAUCGGGCACCAAAGAGCAGUGAUCUCUGAGAGAUGACAGCUAAACCAAGGUUCAGAGAAAGCUGCAAUGCAGACACCAUUCAGAUGCCACGGUAGGGACUCUCUUCUCCUGGAAGGACAAGGUGGGAACAGAAACAUCAAUUUGUAACAGCGACCACAAAGUAAGGUAUCUGAGCCUACAAAUAAACACAUCACCUUUCUAUGAAAAUGAAUAAACUC